This is a non-coding RNA of Heterocephalus glaber (naked mole-rat), 645 nucleotides long. Lineage: Eukaryota; Metazoa; Chordata; Mammalia; Rodentia; Bathyergidae. The record is from RefSeq and is a predicted model, not a curated record.
AGACAAAGUUGGGGCAGAAAGGGCCACUGCAUUAGUAAGACUUCUGAUUCACUGAGCUCAAGAAGGAAGGGGUACGGUUCCCCUGCCCUAGUCACAGAGGUCCAAUACAAUACUGAGAAAGUGGCCACCAUGAGCUAAUGGUGCCACCUCGGUUUCUCCCCUUCCUAAAAUAUACUCUGCACAAUGAACUAUGUCACCGUGAUAGAGAAGAAAGCAGAAGAGCAGCCGUGUGAAUAGAGUCUGGGUAAAAAUGCAUUGGGGGAUGUGACUCAGUAGCACGGUGCACACUUAGCUCGUGCAAGGGCCCGAGUUUCGUUCCCAGCAUUGAAAAAUGAAUAAAAUAAGUCAGUUAAAAAUCCUCAUUUCAAAGUUAGGCUGAGCUGCAGUCCUCAUGGAGUCAUCAAACACGCACUCCCAGAGGCUCAGAAACACUCAGAAACACCCUACAGCCCAGAGCCGGGAAGAGCAGCUGCUGGACGACUGGGAAGUCGCCUGCCCGCUGCACAGGGCGCCGCCACGCAGGGACGGCAAGGCUUCAGGCUGGCCUGGCAAGAGCAUGGCUGCCCUGUGGUCCACAGGGAGAGGGGCUGGGAUCAGAAACAGUCAAAAACUACCGGAAGCUGCCUCAGUAGGUAGAAGACUCAA